CCCCCCCCCGCAGCAUCCAUACUUCCUCCCUCCCCGAGUUCACCGGCUUCAGGCCCUGGUUCCUAUCAGCCCUACGAGCUGUUGCGCCUGUAGCUCGACCAGCGCACCUGCGAGCUGCUGCGCUAGGGCCUUGACCAACUACGGUACCGUGCUAUCCGUAGAGAGGUUCAAGCCCCACGCACGCGGUUUCGGCGUCUCGCCCCGGCAUCAGAUCCAGGGAUGGGGCUCAUCUCCAGGGAAGCAGCGCAAUGCCGAAGAGCAGGAAAUAAUCUCCAGGGAUCGGAGGGACCGCCGGGACUAUGAACAGAUCGCCAACCUCGCUAAGAGGAUGGGCCUCUACAGUGAACUGUAUGGGAGGGUUAUUGUUGUGAGGAAGGCCCCACUGCCGAACUACAGGCCAGACCUAAACGAAAAGUGUCCACAGAGAAAGGUGGUGAUCCCGCUAAGCUUGCAGAGGAGGGUUAAAGGACUUGUACAGGAGCACCUUGACUGUGCGCUCUUGCCAUUUUGAUAAAGAUGGCGGCAAGACAGAAAGUGGUUCCGAGAAAACUGAGCCUGCGAACUUGAAUGAGAGGAAGGACCCUCUGCUCGACGAGUCGGUCAUGGAGAAGGUCCUUCGGAGGAAGAGUAUUCGGAUGCGCAAUUUUCAACGAACUUGGCCGUUGAUGAUUCAUGGACUUAUUGGAUGAAGCUUUUACCUGCUUGUAAUAACACGAAUCCCCUGAAGGUGGUAAGAUGGUAGAAUUUUGGAAAUCCCUCCUAGCAUAGGAUAAGGAAAGGCUUCUAGCUAGCAGUCAUUGCACGUAAUCAGAUUAGUGAUCUUGUGAAUGAAAGCAAUGUAAAGAUGAACAGACUUAGGCAUCAGACAGAUAACUUAAAGUAAAGAUGAACAUACGAGAAGGCCACUUGCAGGUUGGGAUAAGUGCAUGGAGUCAAAUUUUCUUUCUGUCGAAGUAUAGCGGAUAAACAGGUUAAAUCCCUACUCAAGUCCAAGGCUAGCGGAUAAACAGGUUGAAUCCCUACUCAAGUCCAAGGCUAGCGGAGAAACAUGUUGAAUCCCUACUCAAGUCCAAGGCUAGCGGAUAAACAGGAUAAUAUCUAUUUAUUGGAUUAGUUAUUGAUCGACUACAUCACUAUAUCAAGGAAUUAAGGACGAUGAAGAAAACAUGGAGGUUUAAGAUAUACGUGGGUGCAUCCCUUCUUACCUGGAACAACCAUAUGCGCGAAUGAGUACAAAAUGAUGCAUAGCCCUUCCAAAGAAGAUAACUAUGGUAAGAAGAUAGAUCGUGAUGUGAGAGGAUGAGAGCUCAUGAUCUGAUAAUGUUUUAACAAAACAAAUAAAAUGAGGUUUGGUCGUGACUCGAAGAUCUAGGAGCACAUAAGCACCAAGACUGAUGUAUACAUAGCCAUGCUGUGAAGUACUUCCUCAAUGUCUAGAAGCUCGGCCUUGCCAUAGGGCUGCCGCCUACUGGUAGCUCAUUAUUUUAGCCACUACUCCGCCGCCCCAUCAGUGCUCCUCCUCUCUGGGGUCAGGCCAUGUAUGACAAGGGAAGAAAUUGCUCCUUCCACUGUGUCAGGUUCAGUCAACACCACCAUCUUGGCCACUGGUUGUAAGGAGUGCAUGUAUUGCUUCUUUAUAUCGUAGUGUCUGUCACUUUUAAACUUGUUAAGUACAACACUAUUGUUGGUAGAGUUCAGGCUUGAUGCUGAAUAUUUGUUGUAUUAAUACUUUUAUGGUGAAUCGAGAAAAACAUCAGUCCAUAUUGCGUUGAUGCAGCAGAUAUUCUCAAAAAAGAAAA
This is a non-coding RNA of Lolium perenne, 1799 nucleotides long. The record is from RefSeq and is a predicted model, not a curated record. Lineage: Eukaryota; Viridiplantae; Streptophyta; Magnoliopsida; Poales; Poaceae.